UACGUAGGGUGCGAGCGUUGUCCGGAAUUAUUGGGCGUAAAGAGCUCGUAGGCGGUCUGUCGCGUCGAUCGUGAAAACUUGGGGCUUAACCCUGAGCUUGCGGUCGAUACGGGCAUGACUGGAGUUCGGCAGGGGGGACUGGAAUUCCUGGUGUAGCGGUGAAAUGCGCAGAUAUCAGGAGGAACACCGGUGGCGAAGGCGGGUCUCUGGGCCGAUACUGACGCUGAGGAGCGAAAGCGUGGGGAGCGAACAGG
Molecule: ribosomal RNA, 254 nt
Filed under: uncultured bacterium
Lineage: Bacteria
Description: partial 16S ribosomal RNA
Rfam family: Bacterial small subunit ribosomal RNA
Source: RNAcentral